GGGGCACUGGCGCAAUUGGCGAGCGCAGCGGCCUCCAAAGCCGAAGGUUCUAGGUUCGAGUCCUAGGUGCCCCG
Molecule: transfer RNA, 74 nt
Filed under: Solirubrobacterales bacterium
Lineage: Bacteria; Bacillati; Actinomycetota; Thermoleophilia; Solirubrobacterales
Description: tRNA-Trp
Rfam family: tRNA
About the family: Transfer RNA (tRNA) molecules are approximately 80 nucleotides in length. Their secondary structure includes four short double-helical elements and three loops (D, anti-codon, and T loops). Further hydrogen bonds mediate the characteristic L-shaped molecular structure. tRNAs have two regions of fundamental functional importance: the anti-codon, which is responsible for specific mRNA codon recognition, and the 3' end, to which the tRNAs corresponding amino acid is attached (by aminoacyl-tRNA synthetases). tRNAs cope with the degeneracy of the genetic code in two manners: having more than one tRNA (with a specific anti-codon) for a particular amino acid; and 'wobble' base-pairing, i.e. permitting non-standard base-pairing at the 3rd anti-codon position.
Source: RNAcentral